Molecule: ribosomal RNA, 484 nt
Filed under: uncultured bacterium
Lineage: Bacteria
Description: partial 16S ribosomal RNA
Rfam family: Bacterial small subunit ribosomal RNA
Source: RNAcentral
AUUGAACGCUGGCGGCAGGCCUAACACAUGCAAGUCGAGCGGAUGAAGGGAGCUUGCUCCUGGAUUCAGCGGCGGACGGGUGAGUAAUGCCUAGGAAUCUGCCUGGUAGUGGGGGAUAACGUCCGGAAACGGGCGCUAAUACCGCAUACGUCCUGAGGGAGAAAGUGGGGGAUCUUCGGACCUCACGCUAUCAGAUGAGCCUAGGUCGGAUUAGCUAGUUGGUGGGGUAAAGGCCUACCAAGGCGACGAUCCGUAACUGGUCUGAGAGGAUGAUCAGUCACACUGGAACUGAGACACGGUCCAGACUCCUACGGGAGGCAGCAGUGGGGAAUAUUGGACAAUGGGCGAAAGCCUGAGACAGCCAUGCCGCGUGUGUGAAGAAGGUCUUCGGAUUGUAAAGCACUUUAAGUUGGGAGGAAGAGCAGUAAGAUAAUACCUUGCUGUUUUGACGUUACCAACAGAAUAAGCACCGGCUAACUUCGUG